AUUAAAUCGGGUGCUACCAUGCAGUCGAACGAUGAACCCGCUUCGGUGGGGGAUUAGUGGCGAACGGGUGAGUAACACGUGGGCAAUCUGCCCUGCACUCUGGGACAAGCCCUGGAAACGGGGUCUAAUACCGGAUAUGACACGGGAUCGCAUGGUCUCCGUGUGGAAAGCUCCGGCGGUGCAGGAUGAGCCCGCGGCCUAUCAGCUUGUUGGUGGGGUGAUGGCCUACCAAGGCGACGACGGGUAGCCGGCCUGAGAGGGCGACCGGCCACACUGGGACUGAGACACGGCCCAGACUCCUACGGGAGGCAGCAGUGGGGAAUAUUGCACAAUGGGCGAAAGCCUGAUGCAGCGACGCCGCGUGAGGGAUGACGGCCUUCGGGUUGUAAACCUCUUUCAGCAGGGAAGAAGCGCAAGUGACGGUACCUGCAGAAGAAGCACCGGCUAACUACGUGCCAGCAGCCGCGGUAAUACGUAGGGUGCGAGCGUUGUCCGGAAUUAUUGGGCGUAAAGAGCUCGUAGGCGGCCUGUCGCGUCGGAUGUGAAAGCCCGGGGCUUAACCCCGGGUCUGCAUUCGAUACGGGCAGGCUAGAGUUCGGUAGGGGAGAUCGGAAUUCCUGGUGUAGCGGUGAAAUGCGCAGAUAUCAGGAGGAACACCGGUGGCGAAGGCGGAUCUCUGGGCCGAUACUGACGCUGAGGAGCGAAAGCGUGGGGAGCGAACAGGAUUAGAUACCCUGGUAGUCCACGCCGUAAACGUUGGGAACUAGGUGUGGGCGACAUUCCACGUCGUCCGUGCCGCAGCUAACGCAUUAGGUUCCUCCGCCUGGGGAGUACGGCCGCAAGGCUAAAACUCAAUGGAAUU
Molecule: ribosomal RNA, 862 nt
Filed under: Streptomyces albus
Lineage: Bacteria; Bacillati; Actinomycetota; Actinomycetes; Kitasatosporales; Streptomycetaceae
Description: bacterial SSU rRNA
Rfam family: Bacterial small subunit ribosomal RNA
Source: RNAcentral